Non-coding RNA from Caerostris darwini, 72 nucleotides. NCBI's taxonomy places the organism in Eukaryota, Metazoa, Arthropoda, Arachnida, Araneae, Araneidae. The record is from the annotation of a GenBank genome assembly.
GGCCUGGUGGCGGAACGGUAGCGCGUCUGACUCCAGAUCAGAAGGUUGCGUGUUCAAGUCACGUCUGGGUCA